UGGCGGACGGGUGAGUAACGCGUGGGCAACCUGCCCUGUACUGGGGGAUAACACCUGGAAACAGGUGCUAAUACCGCAUAAGCGCGCUGUGCCGCAUGGCGCGGCGCGGAAAACCCCGGUGGUACAGGAUGGGCCCGCGUCUGAUUAGCUGGUUGGCAGGGUAACGGCCUACCAAGGCGACGAUCAGUAGCCGGCCUGAGAGGGUGGACGGCCACACUGGGACUGAGACACGGCCCAGACUCCUACGGGAGGCAGCAG
Molecule: ribosomal RNA, 258 nt
Filed under: uncultured bacterium
Lineage: Bacteria
Description: partial 16S ribosomal RNA
Rfam family: Bacterial small subunit ribosomal RNA
Source: RNAcentral